AGAGUUUGAUCAUGGCUCAGAAUCAACGCUGGCGGCGUGCCUCAGACAUGCAAGUCGAACGCGAAAGUCCCCUUCGGGGGACAAGUAGAGUGGCGUCCGGGUGAGUAACACGUAGGUAAUCUACCUUCGGGUGGGGAAUAACGCAGGGAAACUUGCGCUAAUACCGCAUAAUGCAGCGGCACCACAUGGUGACAGCUGUUAAAGCGGGGGAUUUUCGAACCUCGCGCCUGAAGAGGAGCCUGCGGCAGAUUAGCUAGUUGGUAAGGUAAUGGCUUACCAAGGCGACGAUCUGUAACCGGCCUGAGAGGGCGGUCGGUCACACUGACACUGACAUACGGGUCAGACUCCUACGGGAGGCAGCAGUCGGGAAUUUUGGGCAAUGGGCGAAAGCCUGACCCAGCAACGCCGCGUGAAGGAUGAAAUCCUUCGGGAUGUAAACUUCGCAAGAAUGGGAAGAAUUAGCGAGUACUAAUACUGCUCGUGAUGACGGUACCAUUUGUAAGCUCCGGCUAACUCCGUGCCAGCAGCCGCGGUAAUACGGGGGGAGCAAGCGUUGUUCGGAUUUACUGGGCGUAAAGGGCGCGUAGGCGGCCAGCACAAGUCAGUUGUGAAAUCUCCGGGCUUAACUCGGAAAGGUCAACUGAUACUGUGCGGCUAGAGUGCAGAAGGGGCAACUGGAAUUCUCGGUGUAGCGGUGAAAUGCGUAGAUAUCGAGAGGAACACCUGCGGCGAAGGCGGGUUGCUGGGCUGACACUGNNNCUGAUGCGCGAAAGCCAGGNNNNCGAACGGGAUUAGAUACCCCAGUAGUCC
Molecule: ribosomal RNA, 810 nt
Filed under: uncultured bacterium
Lineage: Bacteria
Description: bacterial SSU rRNA
Rfam family: Bacterial small subunit ribosomal RNA
Source: RNAcentral